RNAcentral lists this ribosomal RNA (482 nucleotides) under uncultured bacterium. RNAcentral describes it as "partial 16S ribosomal RNA". It matches the Rfam family "Bacterial small subunit ribosomal RNA", at positions 30 to 507 of the family's 1533-position model. The record is from RNAcentral.
AUUGAACGCUGGCGGCAUGCUUUACACAUGCAAGUCGAACGGUAACAGGCCGCAAGGUGCUGACGAGUGGAGAACGGGUGAGUAAUGCAUCGGAACGUGCCCAGUCGCGGGGGAUAACUACUCGAAAGAGUAGCUAAUACCGCAUACGAGCUAUGGAUGAAAGCGGGGGACCGUAAGGCCUCGCGCGAUUUGACCGGCCGAUGUCAGAUUAGGUAGUUGGUGGGGUAAAGGCUCACCAAGCCAACGAUCUGUAGCUGGUCUGAGAGGACGACCAGCCACACUGGGACUGAGACACGGCCCAGACUCCUACGGGAGGCAGCAGUGGGGAAUUUUGGACAAUGGGCGCAAGCCUGAUCCAGCAAUGCCGCGUGCAGGAAGAAGGCCUUCGGGUUGUAAACUGCUUUUGUACGGAACGAAACGGCUCUGGUUAAUACCCGGGGCUAAUGACGGUACCGUAAGAAUAAGCACCGGCUAACUACGUG